GAAUCUGUUCGCCGCAGAGAUCAAUGUUACCGGAAAACGAGGAAGCAUUGAACCGAAUCAAGGCAGAGGUCACUGGAAUCUGACCGGAGAGUUGAUUGUUAGACACAUUGAGGACCCUGAGACUGGUUUGGUUCAAAGGAGGGAUUGCUCCAACCAAGCUGUUGUCUUGUAAGUAAAGAACAUAUAAUCGAGUUAGUUUGAGAAG
Molecule: unclassified non-coding RNA, 205 nt
Filed under: Hevea brasiliensis (rubber tree)
Lineage: Eukaryota; Viridiplantae; Streptophyta; Magnoliopsida; Malpighiales; Euphorbiaceae
Source: RNAcentral